GAUGAAGAACGUAGUGAAAUGCGAUAAGUAGUGUGAAUUGCAGAAUUCAGUGAAUCAUCGAAUCUUUGAACGCACAUUGCGCCCUUUGGUAUUCCUUAGGGCAUGCCUGUUCGAGCGUCAUUUAAACCUUCAAGCUAAGCUUGGUGUUGGGUGACUGUCCGCUUCACGGCGGACUCGCCUCAAAAUUAUUGGCGGCCGGUACAUUGGCUUCGAGCGCAGCAGAAACGCGAACUCGGGCCCGUCGUAUUGGCUCCCAGAAGCUAUCUUCACAAUUUUGACCUCGGAUCAGGUAGGGAUACCCGCUGAACUUAAGCAUAUCAAUAAGCGGAGG
RNAcentral lists this unclassified non-coding RNA (331 nucleotides) under soil metagenome. RNAcentral describes it as "partial contains 5.8S ribosomal RNA, internal transcribed spacer 2, and large subunit ribosomal RNA". The stretch from base 1 to 120 matches the Rfam family "5.8S ribosomal RNA", at positions 35 to 154 of the family's 154-position model. The record is from RNAcentral.